CAUCGCNUGAGGAGGAGGUUUUUGGAUUGUAAACCUCUUUUCUCAGGGAAGAAUUUUGACGGUACCUGAGGAAUAAGCAUCGGCUAACUCCGUGCCAGCAGCCGCGGUAAUACGGGGGAUGCAAGCGUUAUCCGGAAUUAUUGGGCGUAAAGAGUCCGUAGGUGGUCAUGCAAGUCUGCUGUCAAAGCCCACAGCUUAACUGUGGAUCGGCGGUGGAAACUGCAUGACUUGAGUACGGUAGGGGUAGAGGGAAUUCCCAGUGUAGCGGUGAAAUGCGUAGAUAUUGGGAAGAACACCGGUGGCGAAAGCGCUCUACUGGACCGUAACUGACACUGAGGGACGAAAGCCAAGGUAGCGAAAGGGAUUAGAUCCCCC
Molecule: ribosomal RNA, 375 nt
Filed under: uncultured marine organism
Description: bacterial SSU rRNA
Rfam family: Bacterial small subunit ribosomal RNA
Source: RNAcentral